This 414-nucleotide long non-coding RNA is filed under the name Homo sapiens (human). RNAcentral's name for it is "non-protein coding lnc-MPEG1-1:3". Lineage: Eukaryota; Metazoa; Chordata; Mammalia; Primates; Hominidae. The record is from RNAcentral.
GUCACCAUGGGUAACACGAGGCCUGUGGGAGGCCAGGCGCAGGCUGUGGGCAGAGCUGUAGGUGCCAUCUUAUCCCUGCCUUCUCCUCCUCUGCAGGUGUUCCUGGCCUCGCCCACUGAGGUGGCUAAGGUCUGCCUGCAGACACAGAUGCAGCAGUUGCGGCCCUUGGCCUCGGGGCCUUUGUCUGUGCCCCUCGUGUGUCCUGUGUCUCCUGUAUGUUCAGUGUCCAAGUACCAUGGGCUGCUGCACUGCCUGGCCAUGGUGGCCCAUGAGGAGGGGCUGCACAGCCUCUACAAGAGCAGCUCAGCCCUGCUUUUCUGGGACAGCCACUCCUUUGCCACCUACUUCUUCUCCUAUGCUGCCCUCUGUGGGUGGCUCGGCCCCACUGGCCAUAGCCAGCCAGGUGAGCAGGGG